GGGUGCGAUCAUACCAGCGUUUGUGCACCGGAUCCUAUCAGAACUCCGCAGUUAAGCGCGCUUGGCCAGAGUAGUACUGGGAUGGGCGACCACCCGGGAAGUCCCGCUUUCGGGCCCUU
This 119-nucleotide ribosomal RNA is filed under the name Pseudotaxus chienii. The record is from RNAcentral. Lineage: Eukaryota; Viridiplantae; Streptophyta; Pinopsida; Cupressales; Taxaceae.